Molecule: ribosomal RNA, 254 nt
Filed under: uncultured bacterium
Lineage: Bacteria
Description: partial 16S ribosomal RNA
Rfam family: Bacterial small subunit ribosomal RNA
Source: RNAcentral
GACGUAGGGCGCGAGCGUUGUCCGGAUUUAUUGGGCGUAAAGAGCUCGUAGGCGGCUUGUCGCGUCGACUGUGAAAACCCGCGGCUCAACCGUGUGGUCUGCAGUCGAUACGGGCAGGCUAGAGUUCGGUAGGGGAGACUGGAAUUCCUGGUGUAGCGGUGAAAUGCGCAGAUAUCAGGAAGAACACCCGUGGCGAAGGCGGCUCUCUGGGACGGUACUGACGCUGAGACGCGAAAGCGUGGGGAGCGAACAGG